Molecule: long non-coding RNA, 766 nt
Organism: Talpa occidentalis (Iberian mole)
Lineage: Eukaryota; Metazoa; Chordata; Mammalia; Eulipotyphla; Talpidae
Exons: 3
Source: RefSeq, a predicted model, not a curated record
GCUUGGAGGCCAUGUUAACGGUUCUCUGAGCCCGGGGGUUGUGGGGCUCGCCCCACCUUAUGCUCUGCGCGCUGGGGCCGGUACAUCAUGCGCAGGGGGACCUGGGGAGGAGCGUGGAGAAGGUCGAGUCAGCCUAGACCCACACACAGUUUGCUAUAAAAGGUCCUUUUGAAGAGUUCAUUCUCAUCAAGUUGAGCAAGGAUCUGUUGCCACAGAGGAGGUGGCCCUGCUUUGCUGCCAUCUCCAUUUUCUCCAGCAGCACCACCUGCAACAGCUGACAAUGACUGUGGGGCUUUUCCAGUGGAUACUAGAAUGUCAUUUUCUACAGCCAGGCGGGAAUGCAGAGUAAUUGUUGGGCAGCAAGAGGCCAAACAGGAGCCGGGGAAGUUGUGACAUGGAGGUCAUCCAGAGGAGCACCCCCGAACCUGAGCAUCCACCAUAAGAGCUAGACCCCUUUUCGUCUACCCUAGCAGGAGCAGACGUUGCCGCCGCCUAUCCUCAAAUGCCCUUUCAACCACCACUUUGGUACCGGGUUUGUUCUCCAGGCCUGCUACAGAUGGGUGCACCCCACUCUAACCCAUCACCCCCAGACGUUAGAACCACUGACACCUGCCUCCCAUGCUUCCCGUGGCAGGCCUCUACAGAAGCAAAACACAGUCACCUUAGACUCUGGCAUACUGAGGCCCCUCACCUUCCUGCCAGUCUGUGUACUAAAAUAUUAAAUCAUAUUCAUGUGCCUGAAGUAAGAUUGGAGUGUUCAUUGUUU